GGCCGCGGGAAUUCAAUUUGCCACCAGCCGCGGUAAUACAGGAGGGUGCGAGCGUUAAUCGGAUUUACUGGGCGUAAAGCGUGCGUAGGCGGCUUUUUAAGUCGGAUGUGAAAUCCCCGAGCUUAACUUGGGAAUUGCAUUCGAUACUGGGAAGCUAGAGUAUGGGAGAGGAUGGUAGAAUUCCAGGUGUAGCCGGUGAAAUGCGUAAAGAUCUGGAGGAAUACCGAUGGCGAAGGCAGCCAUCUGGCCUAAUACUAACAGCUGAGGUACGAAAGCAUGGGGAGCAAACAGGAUUAGAAACCCUGGGAGUCCAAUCCACUAAGUGAAUUCCCGGCCCCCU
Molecule: ribosomal RNA, 340 nt
Filed under: uncultured bacterium
Lineage: Bacteria
Description: bacterial SSU rRNA
Rfam family: Bacterial small subunit ribosomal RNA
Source: RNAcentral